GCCAAUGUGGUGGUGUGGUUUGAGCGUUGGACUAUGACUCUCAAAACCAGGGUUCAAAUCCCUGCACAGUCA
Molecule: non-coding RNA, 72 nt
Organism: Phrynosoma platyrhinos (Desert horned lizard)
Lineage: Eukaryota; Metazoa; Chordata; Lepidosauria; Squamata; Phrynosomatidae
Source: the annotation of a GenBank genome assembly